Long non-coding RNA from Xenia sp. Carnegie-2017, 873 nucleotides. RefSeq lists it as uncharacterized. The transcript has 2 exons. The record is from RefSeq and is a predicted model, not a curated record. Lineage: Eukaryota; Metazoa; Cnidaria; Anthozoa; Malacalcyonacea; Xeniidae.
UUGAGGUCAGUUGAGGUUGAGUUAGUGUUACCAAAUUUGUCUCACAACAUACAUUCCCAACAACUUUGUUUAAAGCUUAUAUAAUAACUGGCCUUGUAAAUAGUCGUUGUACAAACUGGACUUCUUUCAAGUUGUUUUGAACUGUAGAAGAUCGAACAAUGAUUCUCAAUUAGAAACCAAUCGUUUUUACAGUCAGUGAAUGUAGAGAUAUUUGUUGGUUAUUUUCCUAUGAAAAUUGAGGUUUGAAACUGGCUGAUGAUUUACUGGUGAAAUUUGUGAAUUUAUGAAAAACGUAUUAAUAAUAAGCCUUGUGAAGAUUUCACUGAACUUUUUUUAUGAAAUAACUCCAGUCAAAAGAGAGAAAAUCAAUUAUUCUUAACUGGCUGAUAUCAAGCACCAUUCCAGACAAAUAUUUAUUAAAUAUUUCCCUCAGUGAACCAUAAUUUCUUUCGAAUGUAAAACAUUCAAAGUCUGUUUUCUAGCCUGAUCAAAAAUUUUAGAAGAUAAAGAGCUUGGGUAUAACGUCUGCUACAAAAAUUUCUCGUAGCAUAACAAAUCAAAGUGAAAAUGUUUUUAUUGCAUUUCGUACAGGUUUAUCACAGUUUAGAUGUAGUCAUAUUAUAGUUACGAAGGCAAUUUAGGAAAACUGUUUCUUUGAAAAAAAUCGAGAGCUUGUUUUCCAAAUUGCACGAGAAAGUAUACUAUUAGGUACCUAGUAUACAUAUAAAUUAGCUGAAUCUUAAUGAUGCACUGCCAAAAGUUGCAAUUAUGUGGUGAAAAAGCAAUUCUGUGCAAAUAAUCAGAAUCAAAACGAUUUAUAUAUUCUAUUGAUAUGUACAUAUAUACAUGGCUUUCUAUAAAAUUCAGCGUUCA